UACACGGUAAUCAUAACUGUACAUUCAUUCUACUGAAACGACAUCAAAAUGUGUGUUCCAACGACCUUCUUAUUACAUUAAUAAUAAUAAAUCUCAUUCCCAGGUUCUUAAACCAUUACAUUCUUUGUUCAUCAUAAUAUAAUACGUAUACAUACUAGUCUAUUACAAGGUAAACUAAUCAUUCAUCUUUGGCUUGCCUUUAUCUCUACUGGAAACUUCAGUUCGCUAGUCUUUAGCU
Molecule: long non-coding RNA, 238 nt
Filed under: Panax ginseng (ginseng)
Lineage: Eukaryota; Viridiplantae; Streptophyta; Magnoliopsida; Apiales; Araliaceae
Description: long non-coding RNA (PGIN_LNC014117)
Source: RNAcentral